UACGGGGGGAGCAAACGUUGUUCGGAAUCACUGGGCGUAAAGGGCGUGUAGGCGGCUGAAUAAGUGGGAUGUUAAAUCCCCCGGCUCAACCGGGGACCUGCAUCUCAUACUGUUCAGCUCGAGCACAUCAGAGGAGACUGGAAUUCCCGGUGUAGCGGUGAAAUGCGUAGAUAUCAAGAGGAACACCUGCGGCGAAGGCGGGUUGCUGGGCCGACACUGACACUGAGAGACGAAAGCUAGGGGAGCGAAUGGG
Molecule: ribosomal RNA, 253 nt
Filed under: uncultured bacterium
Lineage: Bacteria
Description: partial 16S ribosomal RNA
Rfam family: Bacterial small subunit ribosomal RNA
Source: RNAcentral